GACGAACGCUGGCGGCGUGCCUAAUACAUGCAAGUUGAACGCAACAAAGACACCAGAGCUUGCUCUACCGUCUUUGUUGAGUAGCGAACGGGUGAGUAACGCGUGGGUAACCUGCCUUAUAGCGGGGGAUAACUAUUGGAAACGAUAGCUAAUACCGCAUAACAAUAGAGAUUGCAUAAAUCUUUAUUUGAAAGUGCCAACUGGUACACUAUGAGAUGGACCCGCGUUGUAUUAGCUAAGUUGGUAGUGUAAUGGACUACCAAGGCGAUGAUACAUAGCCGACCUGAGAGGGUGAUCGGCCACAUUGGGACUGAGACACGGCCCAAAUCCUACGGGAGGCAGCAGUAGGGAAUCUUCGGC
This 360-nucleotide ribosomal RNA is filed under the name uncultured bacterium. RNAcentral's name for it is "bacterial SSU rRNA". It matches the Rfam family "Bacterial small subunit ribosomal RNA", at positions 28 to 369 of the family's 1533-position model. The record is from RNAcentral.